This 462-nucleotide ribosomal RNA is filed under the name Triticum aestivum (bread wheat). RNAcentral's name for it is "partial small subunit ribosomal RNA". Lineage: Eukaryota; Viridiplantae; Streptophyta; Magnoliopsida; Poales; Poaceae. The record is from RNAcentral.
AUGUUGGACCUUGUGGACGACUACAGAACCCGAGACCAGGAUUUUCGCAAGUCCCUCAACGGACUAUGCGGAUUGUACCAAGUACCCUUUCGUUUCGUCGAGACCGGCAAGUCCGAAGACCGCGUGUACCUCUACCGUUGCCAAGUACCUCUUGGAUCCGACAAGUACCCCGAUGACAUGUGUACCACUACGCCCGAAGACCUUGGAUGCGCCAAGUUCUACUACAUGGACCGCCAAGUUCCUGUACCUGUGACUCAAACAUCUAUUAAAAUGUGUACCUCUACCACCGUCUUCGGAAUCGCCAAAAACGCCAAGUACCCCGACGCCCGAUGCCUAGAACGACUACCAUUGUUGUGGAUGCCUAGAACGACUACCGUCAACAUGGAUUCGUCAAGUUCCCCGAUGACCGUGUACCACUAUCGCUCCCUGAACAUGAACGAUCAUUUCCUCUUCGACUCGUGA